GAGUGGACUCCUACGGGAGGCAGCAGUAGGGAAUCUUCGGCAAUGGGGGCAACCCUGACCGAGCAACGCCGCGUGAGUGAAGAAGGUUUUCGGAUCGUAAAGCUCUGUUGUAAGUCAAGAACGAGUGUGAGAGUGGAAAGUUCACACUGUGACGGUAGCUUACCAGAAAGGGACGGCUAACUACGUGCCAGCAGCCGCGGUAAUACGUAGGUCCCGAGCGUUGUCCGGAUUUAUUGGGCGUAAAGCGAGCGCAGGCGGUUUGAUAAGUCUGAAGUUAAAGGCUGUGGCUCAACCAUAGUUCGCUUUGGAAACUGUCAAACUUGAGUGCAGAAGGGGAGAGUGGAAUUCCAUGUGUAGCGGUGAAAUGCGUAGAUAUAUGGAGGAACACCGGUGGCGAAAGCGGCUCUCUGGUCUGUAACUGACGCUGAGGCUCGAAAGCGUGGGGAGCGAACAGGAUUAGAUACCCUUGUAGUCCU
RNAcentral lists this ribosomal RNA (476 nucleotides) under uncultured bacterium. RNAcentral describes it as "bacterial SSU rRNA". It matches the Rfam family "Bacterial small subunit ribosomal RNA", at positions 329 to 797 of the family's 1533-position model. The record is from RNAcentral.